CGUAUACGAACCUUCUUCCUCAGUUGCCCCCAAUCAGUUCGGUCUCUACUUCGAGUGGCUCCUCGCGCCUUUUUGAGUUCCGUCGUGCAUUGCUCGGUUCUCUUAAAAGCCUACUCGGUGCUCUGCCAAUGAGGGUUCCCGGUCUCAGAGCCUAAGUACUGAAAUUGCCCCCACAUCAAGUUUAAGGCUUUGACAAGAGGUGAUUCUCAAAGCACUCCGGGAUCCGCAGACUUUUCUAGAUCAAAGUCUUGUGGCAGUUAGCCAGAACUUGGAUGCUUUGAAGGAUCCUCUCCAGAUCGUAAGGAAUCUAUCUGAAGAAAGUGGAAUUUCCACUGAGGGGAAGGUGGGGUGGAUUCAUCCUCCAAGCUUGAAGAGGAAAUUAAUAUGACAGUGGGGCAAGUACUCAGUGCUACUAAGAGUCAGAAUGAAAUUGACUCCAAAAUCCAGACCUUCAUUCAGCAAUCGACCAAAGCCCGUGAGUCCGUGGCAGUGUGCGAGAAAAUAGAGAACGAUUUAGACUCAAUGGAGGCCGAGGCUGAAAAUAAAUCUAAAGGAAAGGAUCAGAUUCCGAGGCUCCAGGAGCUGUUGGCCGCCGUAGAGAAGAGGCGGAGUGAUCUUACUCGGG
This is a non-coding RNA of Lupinus albus (white lupine), 625 nucleotides long. The record is from the annotation of a GenBank genome assembly. NCBI's taxonomy places the organism in Eukaryota, Viridiplantae, Streptophyta, Magnoliopsida, Fabales, Fabaceae.